RNAcentral lists this ribosomal RNA (301 nucleotides) under uncultured bacterium. Its description in RNAcentral is "partial 16S ribosomal RNA". It matches the Rfam family "Bacterial small subunit ribosomal RNA", at positions 509 to 808 of the family's 1533-position model. The record is from RNAcentral.
CAGCCGCGCGGUAAUACAGAGGGUGCGAGCGUUAAUCGGAUUUACUGGGCGUAAAGCGUGCGUAGGCGGCUUUUUAAGUCGGAUGUGAAAUCCCUGAGCUUAACUUAGGAAUUGCAUUCGAUACUGGGAAGCUAGAGUAUGGGAGAGGAUGGUAGAAUUCCAGGUGUAGCGGUGAAAUGCGUAGAGAUCUGGAGGAAUACCGAUGGCGAAGGCAGCCAUCUGGCCUAAUACUGACGCUGAGGUACGAAAGCAUGGGGAGCAAACAGGAUUAGAUACCCGCGUAGUCCCUGUCUCUUAUACC